Triticum aestivum (bread wheat) is the source of this 126-nucleotide non-coding RNA. The record is from Rfam. Lineage: Eukaryota; Viridiplantae; Streptophyta; Magnoliopsida; Poales; Poaceae.
AUUUUACUCCAUCCGUUCGGAAAUACUUGUCGCAUAAAAUAGAUAAAAUUAGAUGUAUCUAGAACUAAAAUACGUCUAGAUAUAUCCAUUUUCCCGACAAGUAUUUCCGGACAGAGGAAGUAUUUG